GUAUCCUUACCUGAAUACAUAGGGUAAGGAGGCGAACCGGGGGAACUGAAACAUCUAAGUACCCCGAGGAAAAGAAAUCAACCGAGAUUCCGAAAGUAGCGGCGAGCGAAAUUGGACUAGCCCUUAAGCUUUACACGCGUUAGACGAACGGUCUGGAAAGUCCGACGAUACAGGGUGAUAGUCCCGUAGUUGACGACGUGUGUUCAGUGAAAUCGAGUAGGGCGGGACACGUGAUAUCCUGUCUGAAUAUGGGGGGACCAUCCUCCAAGGCUAAAUACUACUG
Molecule: ribosomal RNA, 283 nt
Filed under: Vibrio parahaemolyticus
Lineage: Bacteria; Pseudomonadati; Pseudomonadota; Gammaproteobacteria; Vibrionales; Vibrionaceae
Description: partial 23S ribosomal RNA
Rfam family: Bacterial large subunit ribosomal RNA
Source: RNAcentral